AAAGAAUUAGCAAACAAUAUUAACACACAUGACUUCCUAGAGAAAGGAUAAUCAAUAUUUCACACCUUUAAUCCCAUCACCAAGGUAAACUAGUAAUUAAUUUGCUAACAAAGUUAAAAAAAAACACUUAUCCAUAGGAAGACCGUAACUAACAUAUUAAUGGGUUCUCAUUCCAUUAUAGAUCUUCUAAUUUAUGGGAAAGUUCCUUGAUGUCCAAGAAGCACAAUUAUCAUAUAGUGGAAAUGAUAGAUAAAGUUGAAACUUAACAACUACCGUUAUGUCAUAUUGGCUGUACUCUACUAGCUAGUAACAGGAUAAUAUUUCAAUCCUCUUAAACACACAGAACAACCAUUCAUGAACACAAAAAAUUAUAUGCAUACUAAUCAAAAUUUGAUGG
RNAcentral lists this long non-coding RNA (397 nucleotides) under Solanum tuberosum (potato). Its description in RNAcentral is "long non-coding RNA (STUB_LNC010040)". The record is from RNAcentral. Lineage: Eukaryota; Viridiplantae; Streptophyta; Magnoliopsida; Solanales; Solanaceae.